This 484-nucleotide ribosomal RNA is filed under the name uncultured bacterium. RNAcentral's name for it is "bacterial SSU rRNA". It matches the Rfam family "Bacterial small subunit ribosomal RNA", at positions 355 to 854 of the family's 1533-position model. The record is from RNAcentral.
UGGGGAAUCUUGGACAAUGGGGGCAACCCUGAUCCAGCCAUGCCGCGUGAGUGAUGAAGGCCUUAGGGUCGUAAAGCUCUUUCGCCUGUGAAGAUAAUGACGGUAGCAGGUAAAGAAACCCCGGCUAACUCCGUGCCAGCAGCCGCGGUAAUACGGAGGGGGUUAGCGUUGUUCGGAAUUACUGGGCGUAAAGCGCACGUAGGCGGACCAGAAAGUUGGGGGUGAAAUCCCGGGGGCUCAACCCCGGAACUGCCUCCAAAACUAUUGGUCUAGAGUUCGAGAGAGGUGAGUGGAAUUCCAAGUGUAGAGGUGAAAUUCGUAGAUAUUUGGAGGAACACCAGUGGCGAAGGCGGCUCACUGGCUCGAUACUGACGCUGAGGUGCGAAAGUGUGGGGAGCAAACAGGAUUAGAUACCCUGGGUAGUCCACACCGUAAAACGAUGAAUGCCAGUCGUCGGGUAGCAUGCUAUUCGGUGACACACCUA